UUGCUUCCCGCGCGUUCCUCUUUGCCCUAUCUUCCAUCCCCUUUCAGUAUGCUCUUCUCAAAUCAACUAAAAAAAGGGGAAAAAAAAAACGUCUGUCUUCUCUAGUCGCCAUUCUCUGUCUAACUAGAGCUCCCAGUCAUUACAGCCCCAACAGCACCAGCGUGGGAAGAGCCUCACAGACUGUCUGUAGCAGCGGCGGCAGCGACUUUCCACGGGUUCUCCAUCGGGCAUCCAGUCAAACUUUGAACUGGGAGCAAAACAGAAGCACUGAUGAACAGAGCCAAAACAAGCCAAUCAGGUUUUGGUUCAUAUUCUAGCUUUCACCAAGAAUAUGUAGAAUGUGGCCCUUGUAGAGGUCAGUACUCUGAUUUCUUUGGGUGAACUAACACUUCAACUAAUAACUGAUAUCACAUAUGACAUACCAAGGCCACAGCUUUUAAUUCAAGGUAGUGGAUUUUCUUAAUUGCAACUUCAAACUGCACUAAGUUCUCCAUUUUUCUGAGUUCCCAUUUGGGAACAUUUCAGCUGCAUGCUAUUUUUCUUUCCGCAUUGGACAGUUGAACCUCACCUAAUAUAAACAUAUGAGUCUCCUUUCCCUUCCAAAGAUGAGGCUUAUUUUUAAGGAGAUAAAUUUACAAAUGUUGGCAACCAGUAUGCUGCUGCUGAAUAAGAGUUGUGGAACUUGCUAUAAUGGCCAAGCAAAUUGACUGUAUGAUCAUAGUCUGGGUGAGUGCAAUUUCUGCGAGCUGCUCCAGAAUUUGGUCAUAAUCCUAUAGCUUACCUCCAACUCAAGAAUCAAUAUGAGACAUGCCCUUAGAAUCUCCCAUGAGUUGAUUGAUUCUUCCUUCACUUGUAAAAGUUUUGACUAAAUUUUUCUAAUUUUUAAAAUUGUAUAGUCGAAAAAUGGACCUAAAAAGGUACAUAGAUAAAUUUUUUUUUUUUUUUUUUAACUAAAAAAGAAAGAGAAUAUUUUGGUCUUAUCACAAAAGAAUUAAAUUCAUGCCAAGCAAACAUUCAUUACUUGUUUUGAUUUCUAUGCAAGUGGAGGUAGUUGGCUUCAUUUAAUACAUUCUAACUAGUGCCACUUGUCAACAAAACCCCUCUAAAAAAUUAGUAAAAUGGUAAAAGCUUGGCACUAAGAGUGAGAACAAGGGUUUGAGUACAAGUGCAGCUGGGUAGGCACUCUGCAAUUAA
Camellia sinensis is the source of this 1194-nucleotide RNA transcript. It is a transcript of the gene named protein neprosin, with no coding region annotated. Lineage: Eukaryota; Viridiplantae; Streptophyta; Magnoliopsida; Ericales; Theaceae. The record is from RefSeq and is a predicted model, not a curated record.